AAGCAUACGAAGAGCUCACUCGGAUUCCCCUUCAGGACAUCAUAAUGGAUGAUGCAAUUCGAGUUUCUGAUGCA
Molecule: small nucleolar RNA, 74 nt
Organism: Ananas comosus (pineapple)
Lineage: Eukaryota; Viridiplantae; Streptophyta; Magnoliopsida; Poales; Bromeliaceae
Rfam family: Small nucleolar RNA snoR60
About the family: snoR60 is a member of the C/D class of snoRNA which contain the C (UGAUGA) and D (CUGA) box motifs.
Source: Rfam